UGAGCAAUCUGCCCUUCUCUUCGGAAUAAGCGUUGGAAACGACGUCUAAUGCCGAAUACGACCUCCUUUCGCAUGAUCGGAGGUGGAAAGCUCCGGCGGAGAAGGAUGAGCUCGCGGCCUAUCAGCUUGUUGGUGGGGUGAUGGCCUACCAAGGCGACGACGGGUAGCCGGCCUGAGAGGGCGACCGGCCACACUGGGACUGAGACACGGCCCAGACCUCCGUACGGGAGGNAGCG
This 236-nucleotide ribosomal RNA is filed under the name uncultured bacterium. Its description in RNAcentral is "partial 16S ribosomal RNA". It matches the Rfam family "Bacterial small subunit ribosomal RNA", at positions 118 to 353 of the family's 1533-position model. The record is from RNAcentral.